Long non-coding RNA from Mauremys mutica (yellowpond turtle), 742 nucleotides. RefSeq lists it as uncharacterized. The transcript has 3 exons. NCBI's taxonomy places the organism in Eukaryota, Metazoa, Chordata, Testudines, Geoemydidae. The record is from RefSeq and is a predicted model, not a curated record.
GAGGAUUUGUUUGUGCCCUUUGUUUUUGUGGUGUUCGCUCUUUGGACUAAGAGGGACAGGACAUCAAUCCAUGCUCUCCAAAUCUUUCUGAACAAGUCUCUCAUAUUUCAAACUUGUGUCCAGCAAGCUCCAGGUGCUCUCCAUCACCCUCUUUAAAGACCUGCUGGAGCUUGUAAGGGGGCCCAACUGGAGGCAGAUGAAGGAGCAUGUGCUCCAGAGCCUGGUCCCACUGCUCCUCCUUGUGCAUGAUGAGCGUCCCAACGUGUCCCAGACCUCAAAGGCUUGCAGCAGGACAGCAAGUCCACAGUCUGAUGCCUGGCUUCUCAGACCAUCUUCAUCCUGGAGGCCUUCAAGAACCAGCCUCCAGCCUGCUGCGGCCUAUGGACAUUUGUCCAUAGGAUGACCACAAUGUGCACUGCGGAGAGCCCGGUCAUUGAAGCUGCCCAGCUGCCCUAGCUCUGGGAAAAGCCAGCCUCCCUUCUCUGGGGGCUUUUGGCAUCAGACCCCGCCUGGAGCAAGGUGGAACACUUCAUGCCAGACCAUGACUUCUUCCCCAUUGGUUUCCUGCCCUGUCCAGUCACCAGGUACAGCGCCAAAAAUGUACACGACUGGAAAUGGGAACGGAGGGUAGAACAUAAACCCUACACCAGGUGUGGGAACAUGUCAAAAAGUACAUGUUGAAUAAAGCUAUUGAGCAGUUAACUAGUCAUGUGCUCCCCCUCCCCUCCCGGUACAUAGCAAU